CCUACGGGAGGCAGCAGUGGGGAAUUUUGGACAAUGGGCGCAAGCCUGAUCCAGCCAUUCCGCGUGAGUGAAGAAGGCCUUCGGGUUGUAAAGCUCUUUCGCAAGGGAAGAAAACUUAGGCUCUAACAUAGCCUGAGGUUGACGGUACCCUGAUAAGAAGCACCGNAU
RNAcentral lists this ribosomal RNA (168 nucleotides) under uncultured bacterium. RNAcentral describes it as "partial 16S ribosomal RNA". It matches the Rfam family "Bacterial small subunit ribosomal RNA", at positions 338 to 498 of the family's 1533-position model. The record is from RNAcentral.